Molecule: long non-coding RNA, 330 nt
Filed under: Brassica napus (rape)
Lineage: Eukaryota; Viridiplantae; Streptophyta; Magnoliopsida; Brassicales; Brassicaceae
Description: long non-coding RNA (BNAP_LNC024992)
Source: RNAcentral
AGGUUGGAAAAGAAGUGUUCAAAGUCGCAAUCGGGAAGCGGCAUCUCGCUGGUGCCGCUCCCAUGGCCGGGAACAAAGCAUGGGUCCUAUCCGGGUAACGAAAAGCCAUCCGCGGAAAAUUCGAUGUCAUCAAGAUCAAUCCCUUUGCCUUUCCUCUGCCCGUCUCCAAUCGGAACGUCUUGAGGAACAGCAUCACCCAUGUCCAGAUCAGUCUCCUCUUCCACAACCUCGACAAGAUCGGCUCGAGACCGGGAGAGCGCCAGUGCCCUUCGAACCCGCUCAUGAGUGAAGGAAGUCCAGAAAAAUGGACCGCUCCUAAGGAGGUUCCUC